AAUUUUGGACAAUGGGGGAAACCCUGAUCCAGCCAUCCCGCGUGUAUGAUGAAGGCCUUCGGGUUGUAAAGUACUUUUGGCAGAGAAGAAAAGGUAUCUCCUAAUACGAGAUACUGCUGACGGUAUCUGCAGAAUAAGCACCGGCUAACUACGUGCCAGCAGCCGCGGUAAUACGUAGGGUGCAAGCGUUAAUCGGAAUUACUGGGCGUAAAGGGGUCGCAGGCGGGUAGGAAAGAAAGAUGUGAAAUCCCAGGGCUCAACCUUGGAACUGCAUUUCUAACUGCCUAGCUAGAGUAUGGCAGGGGGGGGUAGAAUUCCACGUGUAGCAGUUAAAUGCGUAGAUAAGUGGGGGAAUACCGAUGGCGAAGGCAGCCCCCUGGGAUAAUACUGACGCUCAGGUACGAAAGCGUGGGGAACAAACC
This 422-nucleotide ribosomal RNA is filed under the name uncultured bacterium. RNAcentral's name for it is "partial 16S ribosomal RNA". It matches the Rfam family "Bacterial small subunit ribosomal RNA", at positions 360 to 774 of the family's 1533-position model. The record is from RNAcentral.